GCUUACGGCCAUACCAGCCUGGGUACCCCCGAUCUCGUCUGAUCUCGGAAGCUAAGCAGGGUCGGGCCUGGUUAGUACUUGUGGGAGACCGCCUGGGAAUACCAGGUGCUGUAAGCA
Molecule: ribosomal RNA, 117 nt
Filed under: Salmo salar (Atlantic salmon)
Lineage: Eukaryota; Metazoa; Chordata; Actinopteri; Salmoniformes; Salmonidae
Source: RNAcentral